Molecule: ribosomal RNA, 626 nt
Filed under: Dyella sp. So2Pw_1300
Lineage: Bacteria; Pseudomonadati; Pseudomonadota; Gammaproteobacteria; Lysobacterales; Rhodanobacteraceae
Description: bacterial SSU rRNA
Rfam family: Bacterial small subunit ribosomal RNA
Source: RNAcentral
GCAAUGCCGCGUGUGUGAUGAAGGCCUUCGGGUUGUAAAGCACUUUUAUCAGGAACGAAAUACUACUGGCUAAUAACCGGUGGGGCUGACGGUACCUGAGGAAUAAGCACCGGCUAACUUCGUGCCAGCAGCCGCGGUAAUACGAAGGGUGCAAGCGUUAAUCGGAAUUACUGGGCGUAAAGCGUGCGUAGGCGGUUUGUUAAGUCUGUUGUGAAAUCCCCGGGCUCAACCUGGGAAUGGCAAUGGAUACUGGCAAGCUAGAGUGUGAUAGAGGAUGGUGGAAUUCCCGGUGUAGCGGUGAAAUGCGUAGAGAUCGGGAGGAACAUCAGUGGCGAAGGCGGCCAUCUGGAUCAACACUGACGCUGAGGCACGAAGCGUGGGGAGCAAACAGGAUUAGAUACCCUGGUAGUCCACGCCCUAAACGAUGCCAACUGGAUGUUGGUCUCAACUCGGAGAUCAGUGUCGAAGCUAACGCGUUAAGUUCGCCGCCUGGGGAGUACGGUCGCAAGACUGAAACUCACAGGAAUUGACGGGGGCCCGCACAAGCGGUGGAGUAUGUGGUUUAAUUCGAUGCAACGCGAAGAACCUUACCUGGCCUUGACAUGUCUGGAAUCCUGCAGAGAUGC